This 60-nucleotide non-coding RNA is filed under the name unclassified sequences. RNAcentral's name for it is "L31-Actinobacteria ribosomal protein leader". It matches the Rfam family "L31-Actinobacteria ribosomal protein leader". The record is from RNAcentral.
ACGGUCCCGGUUCACCCCCGAGCACCACGCGUGGGCACCUGCCCCGGGGGACCCGGCAUC